This 66-nucleotide transfer RNA is filed under the name Alviniconcha sp. Al-Pm-27. Its description in RNAcentral is "tRNA-Trp". RNAcentral also lists the same sequence under 3 other names. Lineage: Eukaryota; Metazoa; Mollusca; Gastropoda; Provannidae. The record is from RNAcentral.
AAGAUUUUAAGUUAAAUAAACUGUAAGCCUUCAAAGCUUAAAAUAAAAAUGAUUUUUUAAAUCUUG